Molecule: ribosomal RNA, 253 nt
Filed under: uncultured bacterium
Lineage: Bacteria
Description: partial 16S ribosomal RNA
Rfam family: Bacterial small subunit ribosomal RNA
Source: RNAcentral
UACGGAGGGUGCAAGCGUUAUCCGGAUUCACUGGGUUUAAAGGGAGCGUAGGUGGGCAGGUAAGUCAGUGGUGAAAUCUCCGGGCUUAACCCGGAAACUGCCAUUGAUACUAUCUGUCUUGAAUAUCCUGGAGGUAAGCGGAAUAUGUCAUGUAGCGGUGAAAUGCUUAGAUAUGACAUAGAACACCCAUUGCGAAGGCAGCUUACUACGGGAUUAUUGACACUGAGGCUCGAAAGCGUGGGGAUCAAACAGG